RNAcentral lists this ribosomal RNA (457 nucleotides) under Polistes sp. 1 MDS-2020. Its description in RNAcentral is "partial large subunit ribosomal RNA". The stretch from base 332 to 457 matches the Rfam family "Bacterial large subunit ribosomal RNA", at positions 2473 to 2599 of the family's 2925-position model. The record is from RNAcentral. Lineage: Eukaryota; Metazoa; Arthropoda; Insecta; Hymenoptera; Vespidae.
AGUUUUUCUGCCCAUUGAAUUUAAAAGGCUGCAGUAUAUUGACUGUACAAAGGUAGCAAAAUCAAUAGUUUUUUAAUUGAAAACUUGAAUGAAAGAAUGAAUAAAAUAUAAACUGUCUUAAAGUUUGAAUUUAAAUUAAAAGUUAAAAUGCUUUUGUUUAUUUAUUAGACGAUAAGACCCUAAGAAUUUGAAAUAAUUUAUUAUUUUAAUAUUAAAAUUUAGUGAUAAAUUUUUUAUUGGGAGGGUAAUUAAAUUAAACUUUAAUUUAUUGAAACAUAGAUGAAUGAAUAUAAAGAUAAUUUUUAUAAUUAAAAGAAUUAAUUACCUUAGGGAUAACAGCGUAAUAAUUUUGGAGAGUUCAUAUUAAUAAAAUUGUUUGCGACCUCGAUGUUGAAUUAAAAUAAAAAUUAAGUGAAGAAGCUUAAAAUUUUAGUCUGUUCGACUAUUAAAAUUUUAC